AUACAUGCAAGUCGAACGCGUUGGCCCAAUUGAUUGAUGGUGCUUGCACCUGAUUGAUUUUGGUCGCCAACGAGUGGCGGACGGGUGAGUAACACGUAGGUAACCUGCCCAGAAGCGGGGGACAACAUUUGGAAACAGAUGCUAAUACCGCAUAACAACGUUGUUCGCAUGAACAACGCUUAAAAGAUGGCUUCUCGCUAUCACUUCUGGAUGGACCUGCGGUGCAUUAGCUUGUUGGUGGGGUAAUGGCCUACCAAGGCGAUGAUGCAUAGCCGAGUUGAGAGACUGAUCGGCCACAAUGGGACUGAGACACGGCCCAUACUCCUACGGGAGGCAGCAGUAGGGAAUCUUCCACAAUGGGCGCAAGCCUGAUGGAGCAACACCGCGUGAGUGAAGAAGGGUUUCGGCUCGUAAAGCUCUGUUGUUAAAGAAGAACACGUAUGAGAGUAACUGUUCAUACGUUGACGGUAUUUAACCAGAAAGUCACGGCUAACUACGUGCCAGCAGCCGCGGUAAUACGUAGGUGGCAAGCGUUAUCCGGAUUUAUUGGGCGUAAAGAGAGUGCAGGCGGUUUUCUAAGUCUGAUGUGAAAGCCUUCGGCUUAACCGGAGAAGUGCAUCGGAAACUGGAUAACUUGAGUGCAGAAGAGGGUAGUGGAACUCCAUGUGUAGCGGUGGAAUGCGUAGAUAUAUGGAAGAACACCAGUGGCGAAGGCGGCUACCUGGUCUGCAACUGACGCUGAGACUCGAAAGCAUGGGUAGCGAACAGGAUUAGAUACCCUGGUAGUCCAUGCCGUAAACGAUGAGUGCUAGGUGUUGGAGGGUUUCCGCCCUUCAGUGCCGGAGCUAACGCAUUAAGCACUCCGCCUGGGGAGUACGACCGCAAGGUUGAAACUCAAAGGAAUUGACGGGGGCCCGCACA
RNAcentral lists this ribosomal RNA (921 nucleotides) under Limosilactobacillus fermentum. Its description in RNAcentral is "bacterial SSU rRNA". It matches the Rfam family "Bacterial small subunit ribosomal RNA", at positions 51 to 927 of the family's 1533-position model. The record is from RNAcentral. Lineage: Bacteria; Bacillati; Bacillota; Bacilli; Lactobacillales; Lactobacillaceae.